Long non-coding RNA from Gallus gallus (chicken), 6417 nucleotides. RefSeq lists it as uncharacterized. The transcript is spliced from 3 exons. Lineage: Eukaryota; Metazoa; Chordata; Aves; Galliformes; Phasianidae. The record is from RefSeq and is a predicted model, not a curated record.
AAGAUGCAACAUAAACAGUCUUCAAGGCCUGUGAGCAUUCCUUAUCAAGCAGAAGCUUAUAUGAUAACUGAAUACCUUCAUGGUUUCUAAAAAAAAAGCUGCUUACAUAAAAAAAGCUGCUUACAUAAAUGGUCUGAAAGCAACUCCUGUCAAUGUCAGUGGGAAUUUUACCAGUGGAAACAGAAUUAAGCCCGAAAGGGAUCAUUUUUUCAACACCUUUGCAACUUUUUGUCUGGCACCACCAGAGCCAAUGGAAAGGUUUUCAUUGACUUUGGUGCAUAAAGAGAUGUUAGCUGUGUAACUCAAGACAUCUCCUGUGUGCCAAAGAAUAAACGAAAUUUAGAAUGAGAGCAGCUUUGCUGUAAUGGUGAUGAUAUAAUACUCAAGAGCAAACAACUAAUAAACUGUUGUUAAAACAAGAAUCCAUCAUACUUGCUCUAAGACCAAAGGGAAAGGUUGCCUCUGGCCUCUGGGAUCUCCUGCUGGGCAAUGAAAAGAGGAGCUAUAUCGUGCAGAAAGUUAUGAGGAAAGAGGAAAAACCCUCAGGAGGAAAAAGCCUUUCUUUCCCCUCCUACCCCCUCUCCUGGCAUAGCUAUCUCUACUGCUUGUGUGCAAUUCCGCAGAGAAAAAACAGUUCAUGAUAGAACAAACUGAGAAAGUGCUAGCUCAGGCUGCCUGUGCUUUCCUUUCAUGGAUUAAUGGUGACUGAAAGUGAAGGGAUUAUUUGAGGCCGUACGGGCAAUAUUAACUACUCCUGCACAUUGUAUGACUCUAGGAUCACAUGCAGUCUGGAAACCAAAAGCAGCAAACAGUGUUGGGUUAGUAUAGGUAGACACCUGGGUUAUGAAGCAGAGAGUUCUAGAGUUUACUUCUUAGCAGUUUGGGAAUUGCCUGUUGUGAAGAUGGAGUGAAAUAAAUGGUGGUCUGCAGUCAGCCAUUCUGAUAUCCCAUAGGAAUAGCCAGGCUGUUCGAUCCUCUGGAAAACAGCAUCUUAGUGACCACUGCAAGUGACCACUUUUUGCUUCAAGCUCAGUGAAACUCAUUUUUCCUUGUAGAAACAAAUAUGGGGGUGAGCUGGGAACAGUAUAUUCUUUGAAAGCUGUAGCCUUUGCAGUUGAGUGUUUAUUAACUUAUUUCAGAACAAUGAGAAAGUUUACUUCACCAAAUUCAUUCUAGAGUGUAUUCAUGCAUGUUCAUUAAUGGCUGUGUGUCAAAUACUGUUGUAUUUAAGCCUUUGGAGGACCGGUGGGAGACACAUUUAAUGGCUUGGCUAGACCUGGGUGAAAUAAGAACUUAACCUGGGAUUUGUGAUGGGGCAGAAACUCCCUUUUCUAGUAGUGAUACAGGAUUAACCACGUGGAUAUGAGUUGCAUAUAUGGGGCUAUCAGGUCUCUCAGUAUUCUUAGAUUUAUUAUCUGGCAUUUUCAUUGUGCCCAAGGAGCUUUGCAUCUAUAGACAGUCAUGGCUGUAAGAAAGGGAAGGUGUAUGAAAGUGUAUAUUUUUAAUGUAAUGCAAUGUGGACAUCCCUGAACCACCACUAGAUGAGCUAUCUCAGGAUUUGAAAGCUUCAGCACAGUUCUGCAGCUGAGCUAAUUAGUUCCACUGGGGACAGAGGAAGAGAAGCAGGGCUAGUUUGCUUUGGUGUUCUGCAAUGCUAACAUGACUGCUGUUUGUAAAGUCAAAGCUAGUGGAGCUUCUGGAGGCUGUAUCAAAAUGAAGUUGGCAAAAAUGUUCUUGGAUCUAGAUCCAGAAAUCUCUUUGCAUUAUACGGUCUGUUGUAUGAACUGACAUUUGUUUGGAUGAGUUGAGUGAGAGGAUUUAAAUCUGAGAACUUUCAGUUUUAACAUGCGUGGUAUUUGGGAAGCCACUGGUCUUUCCAGGCAUGUAGUAAUACCCUGUAGAGGAAGACACUUCACUGAUACUGUCUGGGAACUGACUGAGGGAGAUUAAGCACUGAAACAAACAGCAGAAAACCACAACAUUUUGUUUGUAUUUGAGAAACUGUGUUGGUUGAUGGUCUGUAUCCCAAACUGUGUUUCUUAAUUGUGCAUUCCAUGCACCCCUGUGCUUCAGAAAUCCAGUAGCCAGAGAUAAUAUGUAAGAGCUUUCUUUAGGGGUGAACAUUACACAUUGUCAUAUGGAACUUGUGACUCUUGUACAGAGUAGAUAUUCUUCACUUGUGCAGAUAAUAAGAGCCAAAUCACAGACCAUUCCCAACCAUUCUGUGCACAUUAAGAUACAUGUUCUCUACAUACAUCUCUGUGUCCUUGAGAAUUUAGAAUUCAGCUUGCAAAAGGUGCACAGAAAUUAUUUAAACAAAGGAGAGUGGGAAGAACAUAUGUCUGCAGAGAAUACUUAGUCUAUGUCUUCCCACCCUCUUCUUUGUCUCUGGCAUAUCCUUAUGACUUCUCUCUUCAUUGUUUGUCAAAUUUUUGGAUGUCUCACUGCAUUAAUAUUUCCUAUUCUGGACAUUUUGAGCCUUACUAAGAACAAAAAAAUUGGAUGGAAUGAGAGCAUCUCUGAUUUUCACAUACAAAUGUUGGUGGAGUUUUCCUGGUGUUUAGAUGUUAGUUAAUAAAAAACAGUCUCUGAACCCCAGGCUGAGGCCUUUCAAAUGGGAUCAAGCUUGCUUUCCCCUUUUAUCUAACCUUUAUUCUUUCAGGCUAGAAGACAUUCUUCCCUAUGUGUUAAGGGGUGACUGGUUUCCUUCCUGUUCUGGACCUACAGCAGUCUCCUGAAUUAUUUUCUCCAGCGUUCUUGUAAAGAGAAGCAGAAAUCUUUGUUCCUCCUUUCUUAGCAGAAGUGAGGGUCUUGUAUUUGCUUUGAGCAGUAGGGAAAUAUCUUCCUGGCAAUUGAAAGAACCAUCAAUUCAGCAAUGUAAAUAUGUAAAUGGGAUGGUGGGUUCCUCAGUUAGCAGAGUAAUAUGUUACAUUACUUAGUGGGAAACCUACUUGCCCUCAUGCCCAUGUUUUCUCACAAGAGUUCAGCUCAGUUGUGUCCUGAGCUCUUGUUGGACUGUUCUCAUUCCAGAGCACCUGCCGGAAGGAAACUCAGGUGAAAAUGAAGCAGUGGCAUGUGUCAGCAGGUCCCACACAGAGCAGGAGGAGCAGAACGGAGACAAGCAUUAUACAGAGCCCUCUGCCAAAGUUUGGACGGAAGUAACACAAGUGAUCUAAGAAUUGGAAAUGCUCAGACACGAAAAGAAAAAAGAAUAAUUGACACAACGUGCAAUCGAUCUCUGGGCACCGGUGUUGCAGGAUAUUACAAGUACGGAUAGCAGACAGUUGGCUGAAAGACUGAGAAGAUUGCCAGACACCAGUAUUAAAUGAAAAUGUCAUCUAGGAUAUGGAGCAAUUUUCCUCUUUUGCUGCUGCUCAUGUGAACUCAGGAAUCUGUGAAUUAUUCUAGGACAUUUGAAUUCCCAUGUAAUCUUCUCAGAGAGGUACAGGGACUUGGUUCGCUGAUGUCUCAUGCUUCUUUUUUUUUUUCUGCUUAAAAGAUAAAUACAGUGUUUGAAGAGAGAUAAUAGAGCUGGAUUACUUGUCCUUGCAGACUGCAAUUUUCAACACCUGAAAUACAAGAGCUUCUGAAUGCAAUCUUUCUGAAGAAAAAGUCAGCUUUCUUUCAGAAUAAAUGCUGUAACUAUGGGCCAGAAAUGUCUGAAAUGCUACUUAACUUUUCUGCAGAGGGUUCUGCAGGUCCUGGAGCUAAAGAAAGCCAGAUUCUCUGAUGCUGCAGAUGAAUCCUCCCAGAGUUGUCAAUGGAGAGAUACACACUAAGACUCCAGCUGUUUGUGGCCUUAGAUUGUCCUGGGCCAUCUUCUUGAGGUGGUCUAUCAUUAAUUUAGGCACUCUGAUGGUGCUCUGCAUGUAGUCUUUAUCCACCAAGCUGUUGGAUUGCCUAGGAAAGGUGUUUUGCUGAGCCCAGCUCAAACCCUUUCCCACUUGUCUCUGAGGUCCUUCAGCGCUAUUCAAGGAAAGUGCAGCUGCCAUACUGUAUUGUCCACCAAAGAAUGCCUGUGGACACCCAUACAGUUUGGUUUGAAGAAAAACCCAACAGGAAAGGAGGAACUCAUUUGUUUGCAGCCUGAUUCUCUGUCACAGAGAUCCAGGGUCCUCUGCGCAUCUUGGGUUUAGCAAUGUGACACAUUUUAUUAAACCAUUAGGGUAGAUUUAGACUAGAUGAAGGUAGAUUUAUACUAGAUAUCAGGCAUAAAUUCUUUACUGUGAGGGUGGUGAGACACUGGAACAGGUUGCCCAGAGAGGUUGUGAAUGGUCCCUCCACGGAAGCAUUCAAGGCCAGGCUGGAUCAGGCUUUGAGCAACCUGGUCUAGAGGGAGGUGUCCCUGCCUAUAGCAGGAGGUUGGAACUAAAUGAUCUUAAAGGUCCUUCCAACCCAAACCAUUCUAUGAUACUAUGAUUAGAUACUAGAAAAGGAACACAUUGUAUAACAAAGGAUAAAAGAACUGCAUGGCAAACAAAUACAUUCUUUAAGCCAUUCAUUAAAUUACUUUCUUUGCUCUCAUUCAUUAAAUCACUUCAUCAAAGAAUUGCUAGCUUUUUUUUCUGAUGAUGGGUUUGAGACCAAAAUAAACAUGUGGAACAUUACAAACUUAUCAACAUAUGAAAUGUCUUUCCGUCAAGGCACUGCGCUGCCUGUGUUAGGCAGGUCUUUAAAGGAACCUAUUGAACUGCCCUCUUUAGUUUUCAGUAUAUUUUAGUGAUAAGGAUCAUCUGAAUGCUUUUAAACUCAUCAUUUUUUAACAAUAUAACAUUUUUUUUUUUCCGCCAGGAAAACGUCUGCUUUCCCUAAAAAUGUUCAUUUUUAGUUUAGAACACUAAACGUCUUCUGUAGACUAUAGGAUUUUAAAAGGUUUACAGAAAUAUUUGGUCAUUUGCCCAUUUUUAAAAAGGGGUGGGUGGGACGUUUUCAGACAGCUAUACAAAAUAAGCCCUGCUUGCACCAAACCCUUAACAUAAACAUAUCAAGCACAAGCUUAGCAGCUGCAUAGAAGUCAGCAUACAAAGAGUGGAAAGGCUUUUGAACUCAUGUUUCCAAAUUGGAUGGAUCUGCAGCGCUCGUAUUGGUGGCGGAUGAGGGGUAGACAGGAUCAAGCAUACUUCACAGGUCUGUAACACUGUGCUGUACAGUUUCUGGAACUGAGGGAGAGGUGCUGUACAAACCUAUGUGGCAGAUUUCCUACUCAGGGCUUCCCAUACAUUAUAGGCAGACUAAAUGGCCUUUACAUUGCUUUGACCCUCCAGAGAAUAAUGGCUAUAUCAAGUAAACUAACAGAAAGGGCAGCAAUGCUGCAAGAAGGAAUGGUUCAGUGCUUGGCCUGAAUCUUGCAGAUAUCUCUGCAUAUUUUGCCAGACAUUUGUUGCAUUCCUUCAAGCUUCUCAGGAACCUUUUAUAAGCAAUGUUGAGGGCAAUGUUUCAUAUAGUGUGAAGGAGAUCAUAGGUCCUGUUCUCUUACAGCUUUCUCCCCACUGCUCUGUUUCCCUUUUGCAGCUUCCUAGGAAAGAAGUAUGUGAAAGAUGGGCUGUGCUUUAAAAAGCUGAAUCACUAAACUCAAAUCCCAACAGCAGCACCACCACCUUGAAUGAAAAUUAAGUUUUUAAACACCUGAGAACCCACACAGACUGGCAAGCAUGUGUGUGUUGAAUUCUUUAUAAUCAGUCUAUGCUCUUCCUGGCAUGUGUCCACCGCUGAUGUUCUCCGUACGGCUUCUACAUGUACACAUAACUUUCAGACAUAGAAUUAAAAUGUAUUAUUUUCUUAUUCUUUCGUUCACCUGAAGAGUAUCCAUUUGCACUGACUUUACUACUACUAAUGAUCAGCGAGUACCCAGGGACUACUUUGCCACGAUAGAACUGACCUCUGUUGGAGGAAGAAUAGACUCUCAUCAAGACAAGGUUACAAAGUCCAGACUGUUUAGAAAUAUUUUAGAAGAAACAUUUCUUUCUGUAAGCUUUCCCAAGCUGACGGUUUCUUUAUUUUCUGUUCAAGGUUAAAAGCAGGACUAUGGGUCAGUAUUUCACUCCAUUCUACAAAUUUUUUAAUCUGUAAGUUUUCUAAGAAAGUUUUCACACUCUUUUGAUAAUCCAUUUUACAAGAGAGGUAAGUGGGAGUUUUCCUAUCUGAUUUACUUUAUUCACAUGCUGUGCUUCUGUAUUCCAGGUCUCAUUAUGGACUUUCCAAGAAAUGGAGAAAUACAAACAAUAUUCUUAAACCAUCAUUCCUCUCCAAGUGGUGAGUUCUCAACAGUCAGUAGGCAACACAGAUUUCUCGUAUUAGAAGUGUAGCCACGUCAUCUGGUGAACUGAUUCAACUCUUCUGAACACUCAUCCAUUUUAAUACGUAUGUUGAAAGAAAUUAUUCUAAUGCUAUUAAACACUUGAGAUUAGGAUAAAAGUA